UCCGGUAUGGUGUAACGGCUAACAUUGCCGCCUUUCAUAGCAGAGGGUUAAGUUGCGCGGCAGCUCGGGGUUCGAUUCCCCGUACCGGAA
Molecule: non-coding RNA, 90 nt
Organism: Termitomyces sp. Mi166#008
Lineage: Eukaryota; Fungi; Basidiomycota; Agaricomycetes; Agaricales; Lyophyllaceae
Source: the annotation of a GenBank genome assembly